GGUGAACCUGCGGAAGGAUCAUUACCAAAAGAACCAUCCGAGAAAGGAACGGUGGGGACGAAGUCCGCUGCCCGUAGUUGUGGAAUACGUCCGGUUGAACAGCCCAAUGGGUGGUCAGAUUCUCCCGGCGCCGGCAUUCCCCUCUGCCGUGGUAGACUCGUACUCCUCAUCGUUCCGAACCCAAACCCUCUGUGUACCCUUCCUCCUUGCUUCCCCCGAACAACUGGUUCCGGCCAGCGGGGGGAGAAACCAAAUCGAAACUCUUUUGCAAAACCGCCGUCUGAUUAAAAACAAAAUACAAAAAGUUAAAACUUUCAACAACGGAUCUCUUGGUUCCCACAUCGAUGAAGAACGCAGCGAAAUGCGAUAAGUAAUGUGAAUUGCAGAAUUCAGUGAAUCAUCGAAUCUUUGAACGCACAUUGCGCCUCCUGGUAUUCCGGGAGGCAUGCCUGUUCGAGCGUCAUAAAAACCCCUCCGCCUCGGAUUGCUUGCGGUCCCUGGCGGGUUUUGGUCAUGUGGAUUCCCCGUGCUUUUUGGGCAUGCGGACGGGCUCCCACUGCUGAAAUACAUAAUGUUCCCAGCCGACGUUGGUGAUUAGUUUCACCGGCAGGAUUCGUGGCAGGUAGACCGAUGGCGUCAACCGUGGAGUCAUGAGGGUACAAACCCCCCCCUUUGCAACGUAAAGUUGCUCUGGCAGUUAAAUCUGUAGGCCUGACGGCCUGAGGGGCGGGACCUCCCACUCGCAGGCGUCACGGCCACGAUAGCGGGGCGUUUAAACGGGAAUCCGAUCCCGCCUGCACAGGUGGUUGAAGAUCCUUGUUGGGCUAGCAACCCCUAAACACAUU
RNAcentral lists this ribosomal RNA (845 nucleotides) under Morchella steppicola. RNAcentral describes it as "eukaryotic LSU rRNA". The stretch from base 310 to 463 matches the Rfam family "5.8S ribosomal RNA". The record is from RNAcentral. Lineage: Eukaryota; Fungi; Ascomycota; Pezizomycetes; Pezizales; Morchellaceae.